GUGGUGGUGGUUGUAGUCGUAGGUGCGGUGACGGUGGUGGUGGUUGUAGUUGAGGGGCGGUGACGGUGGUGGUGGUUGUAGUUGUGGGGCGGUGACGGUGGUGGUGGUUGUAGUUGCAGGGGCGGUGAAGGUGGUGGUUGCUGCGGUGGCCGUAGUUGUGGGGGCAGUGCUGGUGGUGGUUGUAGUGGUGGCGGCGGUGGCAUGUCGCUUCCUUCCACCGACAGCUCCGCGUGGGCCGCGGCGGGCUCUGACCCCUGAGGGAGGAGGAGGGGCGGGUGGAGCUGGGCCGGCGGCCUGAGCGCUGUCCUGCCGCCGAGCCCGCGGGGCGGCCGCACGUGCCGCGCUGCCGUUGGCUGGAGGGCCUGGAGGAGCCACCGCCCGGCCAGCCUGCGGGGUCGGGGCGUGCGGCUCUGCGGGUCCGGCCCUGGAGCUGAAGCGCCGUGGUCGCAGGUGGGGCUGCAGCGCUAACUUGGUUAUCCUGAGAACACGCGCUUUCUUGCCCUGGAGAAUUGCUGUUGAAGAGGGACAAGAGAGGAGGACAACGCAGGAGGAGAUAAGUAGCUCUGGCUGGACACAAGGUGGUUUCUCAGAAGAGCUCUGUGAAGUGUAGCUAUCGAGUUUCCAUUCAAGGAGAAAACAGGCUCCUGGACAGUCGGAGACCUGUCCAUGGCAGUCAUCCACCAAAAGGGCCAGUGCUCCCUGUCUUUGCAUCUUGACAGAACUGUCAGCUGGUCUCAAGAAGUUCUCAUGGACAACAGCAUGGGGAAUCACGUCUUCAUAUUAUAGCUUUAGCUCUAAAAUUGGACCAGUUAUUAACUUCUGGUCCAAUCUAUUUCAUCACUUAUAAAGGAGAAAAAAAAAACACGUUUGAAAGAGCUAUGAGCUCAUAAAUUUUUGAAAAGAAAGAUGCUGGAUAAUUGUAAAUAAAACAUAUUUUAAGAAUCUCCUUAUGAAUACAUUGAAACUGCAGGCAGCACAUAUUGAGCACCUCCCAUGUGUAAAGCAUAUUGUGCACUGCGCCAGUAGACCCAGAGAGAUGAGACAGGAUCAUGGCCUUCAGAGAAGAGGCAAACGCAGCCUGCUCUCCCUUCAAAGACUCAUCUAGAUAGAGAACUGUCCUUGAGAAAAGUCUGGUGCCGUCUGCCUUACUCUAGAGACAGGAGAGGUGUUAAUACUUAGGUCUGAAAUGGGUCAGUUUUUUUCCUAAAUAUUUGUAUUAAAGUAUUCACAUUAAACAAAACUUGUAAAAUACAGAAAAAAAGAAAAAUUACAUAUGUAUAUUCUGAAUUUUUUAAAUAAUGGUAUUUAUAUCUUACACAGAGAUUUUUCUUGGCUUUUCUUUAACUUGAUGGGAUAUCUAAAUGUUCUGUAUCAGUGCAUAACUUUGCAAAUAUAUUUUAAUGAUUACAGAAUUUCAGAAGGGAUCAAUUACUAUGUAUGUCAAUAAUCUGGCUAUUUUUCUAUGGCAAUUACUGAUGUUAUUUUACACAAAAUGAUGAAUAAAAGAUUCUAAACUAAGCUUGGCUACUACUAAGAAAUACUUCCUAAAAGUAUUUUUUUUAAAUAAUGAACUAAGUAGAUUACGUUCAAAUCUUUCUUUAAGAGCAUCAAAAUCACUUAAUUUCUUAAACUAUCCAUAGAAAUUUCAAUUUAUGUACAGUUGACCUAAAUUAGAAAUGGAUUUUUUUAAUUGUGAAAUUUAGAAACAAAAACAUUUUUUAAUGCAGUUUCCAUUAUAGUAUUGUGUUCCUCUGAAAUAAUGUCUCAUUACUCUAAAGGUAUAAAUACUAAUCAUGUUGAAUUUUUACUGUAUGGAGCAAUAUAAUCUAAUAGUUUUCAUUUAAAAAACAAGGACUGUAUAAAUUCUGAAUUCUGACAUUAUUCUAAUGAAAUUCAUCUUAAAUUCACCUAAUGUCCCUUUAGAAAUACGAUCUUCUAUUUCAACAGCACUGCGAGGGCAUCCCUGGGUGAGAGCCGCUCCUUGUGAGGAGCCCAGUGGAGCAAGAACCCCUGAAUGGGAGAGCUGAGCCGGCAGGUGGUGGAGGGGUGCAGCCUGGGAAGUGCUGACAAAGAUGUGCCUGGAGGAAGAGAGGGAUGAGGAGUGGGAGGAAAGUCCCUCCUUAGCCUGAUGGCUGGCAUGCCCUGACGCUCUGGAAUCCCCCUCCCUAGAGAGAAUGCCAGCCAAGGUGGGAGAGGAGGGGCUCCCACAGAGGGGGGCGUAGGGUAAUGACUACCAAAAGCUCUCUGAGGAGCUUGGAUAGCUGCUGUCUGGGGAACGCUGGCCUAGGUUGUAAUCAGUAUUAUUUUAAAGCAGAGUUUGGCAAAUGAAUAAAAAUAUGAUGAAUGAAUGAGCGACUGAAUGAAUUGUUUUCUCACCAAAGGAUCUGGAUAUUUGUUUCCACUCUUAAACGUUUUUUCAAUUAUUAAUUUUUUGUGCCCAAUUUACAAUGAAAACACCAUUUUUAUUGAAUUAUCAUUAACUAUUUCAUAUUUAUUCAAACCCACACCUUCCCCAACUCCACAGAUGAUUCAGAAGAGCUUAUAAUAAGCAAAACAUCAGACUAGGAAAGAGAGUGAGAGAAGUGAUUCCACCUCUCCAAGCCCCGUGUCCUCACCUGUGUGCUGAUGGUAAUGUACAUGACUGAUCAUACGUGGAAGGGACACCAUGAGAUCGUGCAUAAAAUGACAUUGCUGGACAUACAACACAAACGAUGUAGUAAAGUUAAGGCUAUAAACUUGAGGACACGGUUUAUCUAGCUUCUCAACUUAUUUCUCAUUACCAUUUUAUUAGAGAAUGUUAAUUGAAUUAAAAAUAUAUUAAUUUCUAGAGUAGAAGAGUUUUUAUUCUUUAUAAUUCUGUAAACUCUAUACUAUCCAAGAUAAUGCUUUGUUCCUAGAAUUUGCAUUUCUUAAUCUCCCAUGUGUCCACAAUCCAUGUGAAAAUGUUCUUUCAGCCUUCAGCCAUUUUUGAGAAGCAAGGACCAGGUAGGUCUAUAUUUCUAAUAAUUACCAAAAAAAAAAAAAUCAAGGGAAAGUUCAUCAUCAUUGCCAUUAGCAAGAAACAUAAUGAGAAUUAGAAGCCUUUGAAUUAGGCUAAAAGCAGUGUGGACUAGUAAGUGUAAAGUAUAAAUAGAAGAAGACGAAGAUUAAUUUUAAAGGGCAGAAUUUUGUACAUUUAUUUUACUUAGAUUUCAGAUCAGUUCUGUGUGUGCUUUCCACAUAAGGAAGCAGAGACCACUGUGUUUCUUGUCUUUGGGUGGGUUUUCUGAAGACAUGAUGAGGGCCAGAUGUCAGCACUGUUGACACAGUUGGCUGGAACCUUGGCCCCCAGAGAGAUGGUGGGUGGAAGGAUGCAGAGCAGAGCCUGCACACUGGGUCCUCUGCUGACAUGAAACACUCCCAUUCCUACAGUCCUACUGCAAGCAUCCAGAGGUCAGCGCAGGUGGCAAUGAGAUGGAUACGGAGAAGUGGGGAGCCAGGGGAAGAAGCAUCCUCGUUCUUUCCUGGGAUAGAGUCAUCUACAUGCACCUUUGCAUUUUCAUGGCCAAAGGAUUGUCCUAGUGUACAUAAAUAAAGUAAUGAUAACUUCCCCAACCUGCUGAUAAGUGCCUAAAAUCUCACCAUUCAAGUAUGGGCCAUUUAAUGUAAAUACUCUGCUAUCUUAAAAUCCGGAGAACUGGGUAUGUGAAUGGAAGGAGAUGGGGGAACUUGAGUGGCUGUAAUAUUUUAAGCUGUUCUUAGUUAUGCAUAGCUUAGGAAAAUGCAUGAUUAUAGAGUCAAUAAGAGGGUUCAAGACUGAGUGGUUUAGGGUAGUUAAGAAAAACUUGAAAACUUUAUCUGGGGCCAGUCUUAAACUGUCCACCACCAGAAUGAAUUAAUCCUUCCAACAGUUAAAACUAAUGUGGGGACGAUUAUAAAACCUGACCAGGGUAUAGACAUGAGAGCUGCACUUUUGGGUGGGGAGACUUAUAGGGACCUUGUGUGACAGGGCUAAGGCAGCCAAGAGUCCUGUGGUUUUGAACUAAGUAAGUAGUUUUCUGUGAGCAUUUCCAGGAUUAGAUCUGACAAAUCAGGGUCUCAUGUAUUGGACAUAAUUGAAUCUUGUUCUACUAUAUUCAUUUUUAAUUCAUGAUUUUUUAAUGGAUUCACUGGUCACGUUUCUCAGGUAGUGGCAAGACUUUUUAGUCUUAAGUAAAUUUAUUUAGUUCUGUCUUUCUGGAUUAGUGGGUCUCUGCCAGGAAGAUACAGCAGGAUCAUUUGAUAGCUUGUGCAGAAUACACACUGAGCACCCUCCCUACCUGAGUGAGCACCGCAGAGGGGAUGGGGCAAGAGGCCAUCCCGGCAUGUGGGUUAGAAGAGCCGUCCUGGUGAUUCUGUUGCCGCCCUCUCAUUUUGGGAAUUGCUGUUCCAAAUGGAACCAAUCCUGCUCAGUUACCAGAAAAUAAGCAAAUAGCUUAAACUACAUAACAGUGAGUCUUGCUUAAACCGACAAAAUUGCUCAGCCCUUGUUGGGAUAGGUCUGCUUUUCCUUUCACACAGAUUUCAUUUAGCUGAUGUCUUGCUAAAAAGCAGCCCAUAUGUACUGGCAGUGAAGCACUGUCGUUAUUAAAUGCCCUUCCACGUAUGAACCCUUGCAAUCAGAUCUUACCAUCUUCCAUGCUUUGUGCAGAAUCUUUUAUGUUUAUUCGUAGAGCUCUGAGCAAAGGGCUGCAUCUUCCAAGUUGUGCUAAGGUUUACUGCCUCUUUCACGUGUUCACUGAAUUGUUAUUUGAGGUUGUACACUUAGUGUGUACUAGUGACUGCUUUUCAUUCUUAAAGUUAUUAUAUAAAAGUGUAAGUUUCUGAGGCUUACACUUGGACAGGAGAUCUGUCACUGUGAGAAAAACUUAUAGGAGUAAAACUAUUUUCUUUUUGUGAACAGUUACUGCUACACAAUGUCUUCACAGGGUGUAGGGCUUGGUAUUUAUCUGUUUUAAUUAAACAGUGCCCUGCCUGUCUACCGGUGACUAACUUGAAAGCAGUGGGUGUCUCGGAGCAGCUCACAGGGCUGGCAGCUGUGCUGAGCCUGGUGAACUGACUCGCGCUGCAGGCACGGUGGCACAUGGACGCCAAGCGCUAAGAAUUUCUGGAAUGCAGAAUUGCAGGGCACUGAUAGAGUCUGCUUUGUUCCCCUCUGUGACUUGACCCAUUGAGAAAAUGUGGUUCCCUAGGAAGUUUUAAUAGUUCAAAGUCCUUAGUUAAUAACGAAAAAGGCCACAACAUAAUUCAGCUUGUUUUCACCUGCUGCCUCCAAGAUUAACUUUCCUAACCUUAAUGGGAAAGAGUUACCCUUGGCUUUGAGAGAGUAAUUUAUGGAGCUCUUCACGUUAGUUUGGGUAAACAUGACACUGUUUGUGUGCAUUUUGGUCUUGUUUCGGGUUUGGUGUCACUAACUCCUAAGACUUCUGCCACUUCAGAGCCUAUGGUCACUUCAUCUAAAAGCAAACCCCGGGAGAGGCGGCCCGCUUCUCGGCCCUCGCUUGGUCCUCCCUCCCUGGGAAGGGCGGCGGAGCUUCGCCUCGGGUCUCCCUCCUCCGUCUUCCUACGAGGACGGGAGCGGAGCGCCCCGCGCGGAUCUGCGGCGAGCGCGCCCCCGUCCAGCCGUAGGCGCUGCGCUUUGCAGGGCAAGUUCCGAUCCGCGAGGCGCUCGUGCCGGGCGGGCCGCGUGCUCGCUCUCGGCCUCUCCGAUGGGCGACGAGGGGCCGCCCGGGAGCGGGGUUCGGGGCGCAGGCGGUGGAGGACAGCAGCACGCAAGCCCUCUCUCGGCGGAACCCGGAGCGCGGGAAGCGGACCAUCGCCUUUUCGCCGUCUGAGUCCGCCGGCACGCGGCGUUGCGGUCAGGGCGCCCACUGCGUCGGGCCAGCGCGCCCCGCGCGGCCUCCCCGAGGACGCAGGCACCUGCGGGCCCGGCCCGGUCCCCGCGGGAGCCGCCUCGGCCGACACGUCUCCAGGCGACCUCCGCGGCUCACCCGGCCUUGGAGCGCAGAGGAGCCCGCGCCCCGGCAGCGGGCGCCUGUAAACACCCGACUGGAAGCCGUGGGCGGCGGGCUUUCAGUCGGGUGUCUGCAGCCGCCGCCUGCCCCGCCCCGCGCCGCGCUCGGCUGGCCGUCUCUGCGGCGCACUGCGCAAGCUGGGGAGGCGUCCGCGGAUGGCUCCGGACCAGCCCCGCGCCUCCGCGGGAGCCUGAUCUGCGCGCGCAGGAAGCAGUGUGAAGAGGCAGAGAAAGGUAUCCACCUAGAAUUAUUAUUGCCAGUCGCACUCGGCUGGUGACCACAGCUUAUGUCAGCAGCCAUGACGCCGUGUCCCAGCUGCGGGACAGCCCACCUGAGGGACAGCAGAGGAGGCAGAAGAGACCCUCACUCCCAGAGCUGCCGCUGCCGGAAACAGGCCUUCCCGUGCCUGGGCGUGGUCUGGGCUCCAUCCACAGGAGCAGUCUUCUGGGAAGCAGGGCCAGCCCAGUCACCAACCGGACAGGCCAGGCUGGUGAGGGCGGAAAACGUCAUCUGAAAGCCGUCCUUCCCAGGGCUUCAGAAAAGGCGAGACUGCCCACCGACGGCCCAAGAAAGACCUGUGUGUCCUGCAGCCUCGAGCUCUGCUUUGCAGGCCUGAGCUCACCACUGUCUGGCAGGCGUCUCUUGCUUCUGAGGCGCCCCUAAAGCACUUUCGCUCUCUGUAGGCGCUUUGACGGCAGCUUCUGCGGGUGGAUUCUGGCCCACAGGAGAGGCUCAGAUGACCGAGUUAGAAUUUGAGGCUCAUCCAGUGUUAAUCUUAGUUGUGUGCACAGUAUCACCCCCAGUUUUAAUGUUUGCUCAAUACUCUUUUCUCUGGAUGAAAAGAGAAGGGAGACUCACACAUCCUGGAGGAAACAUAGGUUUUCUUCUUUUGUCUAUCCCUGAACGGCCAAGGACAGUGCUUUCAAGUGGCUUAUGGAAAGGAUUGAGAGUCGAGGGUAAAGAAGACAGAGAGAAGCUGCUUCCGUUGUCAGCCUCUGAAGUCCAUGAACAGUGAAAGUUCAGCUGAGGUCUACAAAAAUAUUAGCAAUGCCAAAAGGCCGGCAGCCAGGAUGUGUCUUUGUGCAGGAACUGAAUGGCUACCCCAGCUGGAAAAGUUUAAAAACCCUGGCAGGGGUGGAACAGUCCUAUAAAAAAGACAGUGAGAAAGAAGUGUUUCUGAAAUAAUUAGAUUUAUGAACCUGUAAAAGAACGUUCUCCACAGACUCUAAGCCUGUAAGCAUGGGCGUGACGGAAAUGCAAGGAUUUGGAGAUAUUUAUCUAAUUUUUAAAGAUGCUAUUAGUAACAGUGGUUGAAAUGAAUCUGAUGAAACAUGAAAUUUUUUAGUACAAGGAAGUAAUAUGCAUAAUUAUUAGUCAAAAUUUGUUUGCAACAGGCAACUACUUAAAAUUCUAAGAUGAUUCCAAGUUAUUCAAAAUGUUAAUCACAUGACAUCUUAUCAAGAUGGAGAUUUUAACUCAGUAGUAACUUUAAUUAAUUACAUUAAUAAAAUCAUGGUUGGCCUUUCUUAAUUAUUUUAUGCUUCUGAAUAUUUAAAUUAUAAAUAUAUCUGAUUCAUCUUUUUAAAAAAGAUAUUAGUCAACACAGUAAAAAAUUUAGGCUGUAUAAAAUGAAUUGAAACCAAUGCCAAAAGUUGAAGGUGCUCUUUAUAAAGUGAAAUGUGCAUUUUUAAGACAAAAUAUAAGUGACAAAAAUACGAUUAAUGCAAAUAUUUGGGAUUUUAUUUACUAAUCAAAUUAUAAAACACGUAAAUGUUUCAAAAAUGCUUGGUCAAUAAUAAUUUCCUUUUUUACAAGUAGAAUCCGUAGUUUUAGUUUAGCUUUAUCAGAAAUAAAUUUAUUGCUUUUAUUUCUGUAAGGACAACUUUUCUGUUCAAUCAAGUAUCUUAAUAGAUAUUUGGCUGUAAUGACAGAAAAGAAACGGUAGAGGGCACUUUAGUUCUCUAACAAAAUAAAACCAUUCCUAAAACCGUCUAUAAAUCAGGAAAGCAGACAACGGGGAGACCUGAGCUAUCUGGUCAAGGUUAGACAAUAAUGUGACACGAGUUUCCCUGCUCCCCACAGCCUAACGGGGACGUCUCAGGCAAACAGAGUCAUUCCGUAAAUCAACCGGCAACGUGAAAAACAAGUGUUCUCAGACCUGCAGAUCUGUGGACCCAUCAUUUCAAGAGUAUUUCAUUUAAAAAGUACCACAUCUAUUUGGAAAUUGCCUGAUCUACUGAUCGGUAAACUCUCACUGUCUAGAAGUUUUAAGAGGGAGAGUGAGUGCUUUAAACAGGUCGACGAUGCACUGGGGCGUACCUCUCUUGUCUUGGUCCGAUUCCCACUAGGAGCCUAUGACCUCAGACUUGUUACUUAAUCACAAUUUCCUCCCGAAUCGUCUUUGUAAUCAUCGUCGUCAUCACCUCAAGGAAGACGCCUGCUUUCAAGCAGCUUCCACUCUGUUCUAGCUGAAAUAAGGUCAGUAUAAGAAACAGCUCCCAGGAGGGAAAGACAACGCACAGUUAAAUGUAAAUUGUGUUGUUCAGCGUGUACACAAUUCCUGGGCUGCUCGUUCUGAUUGCCUGGCCUCGGUUUUACAUUUUAUACUGAGGUUCUGUACUGGAUGAUGUGGCUGGAUGAAGCUCUGUCAUCCAUUCCUGUUUUGUAUGUUGUUCUAUCAAAUUUGGUGAUCUAGUACCCAAGCUCUCAACAGGUUUACCGCGGUUCUUAACAUCUUGGAGUGUAAAGACCCACUUGAAAUCUGAAGAAGACGUGGAGCUCCUCUCCCCAAAACGCUCUACAAGACAGCUCACUCGAAAUGAGCAAGGUUAACCCCAGGAGGUUCAGGACCCUGAGCUCUGCCACAGGCCCCCUGGUGACCCACAGACACGACGCCAGGAGUCUCCGACAGAGGCGCACGCCACACGGCUCCCACGGGUUCCAGAGUCAUUUCCGGAAAGUUCACGUGUUGCGGUGGGGUUAAGAUGGCGAUGAGGCUGGAGAGGGAGGUGUGCCAUGCCAAGCAAUUUUGGAGUUUUUUCCAUAAGCAACAGGAAGUGUACUGAAGUGUUUAAGCACAGAAGUGAACGAUCUGCAUUUCAAACAGCAAAACCAGAGAGUAGAAUGCAAAAUAAACAGGAGAGGAAAGACAGGAAGCAGAGAGAUCCUCACUCAGUCUGCCAGCACCAUAAUCUGGGCGAGGCACAGGGAGAGCCUGUUUAAAAUCUUUCCAAAACUCCGGAUGCUCCCUUUUCUAAGACAGGCCUACGCUGAUUCCGUGUAAUAAGUAAUGGGACAGAAGUUUCCAAACACCAAGGGACAUUUGGAACUAGACAAAGGAUGUUCUGCAGUUCCCUCGUCUUGUCCUCAGGGCGGCAGAGGGCACUAGCAUGCCUGCCUGGUGGACAGCUUCAGACGCCUGGGCAGCCUGGGAGCCUCCAGGAGGCCAGGCGUGGGCCUCCCGAACACGCAAACCUGGAGGCCUUCGCUCAGCACCCACGGCUUCAGGGAGAAGCGUCUGUCCUCUCACCGUAUCCCUCAGGGCGGACAGGAUGGGCCACUCAAGAUGUUAUUGGAGGCUGGACCGUGAGGAAAUACCUCUGCAUUCUCUAGAAGCCAAAAACAACAAGCAAGCAGAAUUUCUGGUGAGGGAGAUUUCUCACAGAACUGUGGUGAAAAUUUAAUGAAAACAAGCUUUGGGGCCAGCCCUGUGGCCAGGUGGUUAAGUUCACAUGCUCCACUUCGGCGGCCCAGGGUUUCACUGGUUCGGAUCCUGGGCGCCGACACAGCACCGCUCAUCAGGUCAUGCUGAGGCGGCAUCCCACAUAGCACAGCAGAGGCACUCACAACUAGAAUAUACAACUGUACUGGGGGACUUCGGGGAGAAGAAGAAAAAAAAACAUUGGCAACAGUUGUUAGCUCAGGUGCCAAUCUUUAAAAAAAUUUAAAAAACAACCCAAUCUGUAUGUAUGUGUCACUGGUCUUCCAGGAAAUUUGCACAUGGAUCCUGAUAUUGUCACAUAUUGCCACAUCCCAUUUGUUUGCUACAAGAAAGGGAAGAUCAUUAAUGACAUGCUGAGCAUCAGCUGCAGAGAUGUUCUCACUCUUACAGAAGGGAGUUUGGCCAAUGGCCCCCAAGAAUAGGGCCAGAAAUAAGAAUUGGAGAAAAGGGAUUAGAUUCAAGCAUUAGUUUGUUGAUUCUACUCAGAACUUGGCAUUUACUAAGAUGUGGAAAGUGAAACCAACAGUUCCAGACCUCCUGUUGAACUAAACCCACCGCCCCACAGGAGGCUCUGACCAUCUGGCCCAACCCACCUCCAGCCACAUGCCCCCACUGCCCCCUCACAGGCUGUGCUCAGCGACUGAACCGCCACACCCCGACGCCGCUGUCCCCUUGGCCUGGAAGGCCCUCUGAUGCCUCUCCAUCAGACGAAGUCCUCUCCAUCCCCAGGCCCAGUCCCAGAGCCACCUGCUCUGUUAGGCCCUUGUGAAUGCUCCUGCCCACUUGCUGCAAAAACCAAUGACUCGCCCCUCUCCGGGCCGCCUAGGACUGCCUUCACGUGUGUAAUGCUCAUCAAAGCAUCAUCCACACCCAUCUUCCCAUUGCAUUUUGGAAGGAGCCUGGUCUAAUUCCUUUUGUUUCCCAAGCCACUAGCAUGGUGUGGGCACAAAAUAGGAAAUAGAUCAGUAUUUGUUGAAGAAAGACAGGGAGGGAGAGAAAGAAAUUCCAGUCAAGAGGCUGUUAGAGUCAUCCAGACAGAAGGUCUCAUAGGAGCCUAAACAUGGAAAGUGGUGCUGGGAACAGAAAUUCACGAUUAUGAAAAUAGAAGAGAUUAGAUUAGACUGGUGAUUAAAUGCAGGGAAUGAGAGAGAAAUGGGACUUAACGGGUGAUUCCAACCAAGUUUUCUGGCCCAAGAGACUGAGAGAACAUAAACAGAGGGUACUGACCCUGUGGGAGGCGGGCAGCAGGUGAAGUCCUGCUUCAGACUUCUCCCUCCACGCUCGGGCCGCCCCACGUGAGAGGUUAGCAGGUGGUUGUGUGUUCACAGUGAAGGAUCUGAUGAGAGGCCACGUGCAGCAUCCGGGAAGACUCAGGAGCCAAGGAAGGAGAGCAAUUCCGAGAGCGGGACGCCCCAGAGACAGGCUGUUGAGGCUAAGCCGGAGGAGGACUAUGGGGCCACAGCCAUCGCAGCCUCAGAAAGAGCAGCCCUACUGGGGCUGGAGGGUCCCUGGAGUCGUUGGGAGAGGGCGGAACCUCGAGUGUGACGGCGCUCAGAAACAUGAACCCGAAAGACCUUAAAUAGUCCCUUCCACCAAAAGAAACAAAGGCUUGCAUUAAAUCCAGCUGGAAUUGUGUGCUCAGCUGAUCCAAGGCUGAGCCUGGAACGGGUCGGGUUUAACGUGAGUCCCCCCCCGGAAGCCUGGGUGGGCUCCUGUCCCCCGGUUGCCAGGUGGAAUCGUUCAGAGCAGCAGGAGGAGAGCUGAAAUGUCUGCCUUCCUCGCACUG
RNAcentral lists this long non-coding RNA (11539 nucleotides) under Equus caballus (horse). RNAcentral describes it as "lncRNA (ENSECAG00000044506.1)". The stretch from base 6046 to 6115 matches the Rfam family "mir-30 microRNA precursor family". Lineage: Eukaryota; Metazoa; Chordata; Mammalia; Perissodactyla; Equidae. The record is from RNAcentral.